UACGUAGGCAGCGAGCGUUGUUCGGAGUUACUGGGCGUAAAGGGUGUGUAGGCGGUUGUUUAAGUUUGGUGUGAAAUCUCCCGGCUCAACUGGGAGGGUGCGCCGAAUACUGGAAUGACUUGGAGUGCGGGAGAGGAGAGUGGAAUUCCUGGUGUAGCGGUGAAAUGCGUAGAUAUCAGGAGGAACACCGGUGGUGUAGACGGCUCUCUAGUACGGUACUGACGCUGAGACGCGAAAGCGUGGGGAGCGAACAGG
RNAcentral lists this ribosomal RNA (255 nucleotides) under uncultured bacterium. RNAcentral's name for it is "partial 16S ribosomal RNA". It matches the Rfam family "Bacterial small subunit ribosomal RNA", at positions 524 to 776 of the family's 1533-position model. The record is from RNAcentral.